ACUCAGGUUUGGAUGUCAAAACCUUCCUAAAUAACUGUAAUGUAACAGAUGCAUGGUGAUAUAAGAAAAUAUGUUGUGGAAAAAAAGCAUAUUCACGUAUUUAAAGGGCUUUCUUAGCUCACCUGUGUUUCCUACAUUUCUGUCAGCAGCUCCCUUCAGAUACUUUGACAUUUUGGAGCUUCUCUUCUGUUGUAGAGAGAUUAUAUUCUCAUUCCUGAAACCACAGAAGAAAUUUGAUCAAUAUUUGUUUACCAUGAAAGAUAAAAAUACGUUUGAACUAACGUUAGAUUCAGUUAAUUUGCGCUCCUUGUAAGUGACGUCACCGAUUAACAGUACAGCGCAUAUUUAAUAAGCUAGACAACUUUCAAUAUACCGUGGACAAACUGACAGCAAACCCUUUACAAAGCUAUCAAAACUUCUCAUCUAUACAUAAAGAUGUGAUUAAAAGCCCAAACUCUCAUUAAAAAGAGCUCAAGCUAUAGAGUUAGCUUACCUCACCUAAAAAAAAAAAAACACUUGCGAUGAUAACGGACUCUUUCGAAGUUUUCUAAGUAAAUAUUCAACAGAAAUGUGUCAGUUACAUGUAAGAAACAUGGAAGAGUUGCAUGUGAUAUACAUAUAUGUGAUGAUUUGUGUGAUUUUAGGUAUUAAACUUACCUGAAAGCAGUGAAAACAGCAGCGAGAAAUGGAGAUUUACGGUUUGCAGUUGGUGUUGUUGCCCCGUUUCCAUGGCAACUCCCUCCGCUCCAGCGUUUGAAUGAGAGUCCAGUAUUCAGCGGUUGGCUUGCAUUCUCUACAUUUGAGGUUUAUUUAUGCAAAUGCUGCGUGACUUUGACAUGUUUUAAUGGGCGUGAGCGCUGAAUACUGGAGUCUCAUUCAAACGCUGGAGCGGAGGGAGUUGCCAUGGAAACGGGGCGACAACACCAACUGACGAACUUCUCUCUCGCAGCUGUUUUCACUUCUUUCAGAAAACUGUGAAAGAGUCCGUUAGCAUCUCAACUGUUUUCAGACAAGGAGUGAUAAUAUAAUCUCUCUACAACAGAAGAGAAGCUUCAAAAUGUAAAUGUUUCUGAAUGGAGCUGCUGACAGAAAUGUAGGAAACACAG
Molecule: long non-coding RNA, 1106 nt
Organism: Cyprinus carpio carpio
Lineage: Eukaryota; Metazoa; Chordata; Actinopteri; Cypriniformes; Cyprinidae
Source: Ensembl